AGAGUUUGAUCCUGGCUCAGGACGAACGCUGGCGGCACGCUUAACACAUGCAAGUCGAACGAGAGAAGAGGAGCUUGCUUUUCUGAUCUAGUGGCGGACGGGUGAGUAACACGUGAGCAAUCUGCCUUUCAGAGGGGGAUACCGAUUGGAAACGAUCGUUAAUACCGCAUAACAUAAUUGAACCGCAUGAUUUGAUUAUCAAAGAUUUAUCGCUGAAAGAUGAGCUCGCGUCUGAUUAGCUAGUUGGUAAGGUAACGGCUUACCAAGGCGACGAUCAGUAGCCGGACUGAGAGGUUGAUCGGCCACAUUGGGACUGAGACACGGCCCAGACUCCUACGGGAGGCAGCAGUGGGGGAUAUUGCACAAUGGAGGAAACUCUGAUGCAGCGAUGCCGCGUGAGGGAAGAAGGUUUUAGGAUUGUAAACCUCUGUCUUCAGGGACGAAAAAAGACGGUACCUGAGGAGGAAGCUCCGGCUAACUACGUGCCAGCAGCCGCGGUAAUACGUAGGGAGCGAGCGUUGUCCGGAAUUACUGGGUGUAAAGGGAGCGUAGGCGGGAUCGCAAGUCAGAUGUGAAAACUAUGGGCUUAACCCAUAAACUGCAUUUGAAACUGUGGUUCUUGAGUGAAGUAGAGGUAAGCGGAAUUCCUAGUGUAGCGGUGAAAUGCGUAGAUAUUAGGAGGAACAUCAGUGGCGAAGGCGGCUUACUGGGCUUUAACUGACGCUGGGGCUCGAAAGCGUGGGGAGCAAACAGGAUUAGAUACCCUGGUAGUCCACGCCGUAAACGAUGAUUACUAGGUGUGGGGGGACUGACCCCUUCCGUGCCGCAGCAAACGCAAUAAGUAAUCCACCUGGGGAGUACGACCGCAAGGUUGAAACUCAAAGGAAUUGACGGGGGCCCGCACAAGCAGUGGAGUAUGUGGAUUAAUUCGAAGCAACGCGAAGAACCUUACCAGGUCUUGACAUCGUAUGCAUAGCUCAGAGAUGAGUGAAAUCUCUUCGGAGACAUAUAGACAGGUGGUGCAUGGUUGUCGUCAGCUCGUGUCGUGAGAUGUUGGGUUAAGUCCCGCAACGAGCGCAACCCUUACUGUUAGUUGCUACGCAAGAGCACUCUAGCAGGACUGCCGUUGACAAAACGGAGGAAGGUGGGGAUGACGUCAAAUCAUCAUGCCCCUUAUGACCUGGGCCUCACACGUACUACAAUGGCUGUCAACAGAGGGAAGCAAAGCCGCGAGGUGGAGCGAACCCCUAAAAGCAGUCUUAGUUCGGAUUGUAGGCUGCAACCCGCCUACAUGAAGUCGGAAUUGCUAGUAAUCGCAGAUCAGCAUGCUGCGGUGAAUACGUUCCCGGGCCUUGUACACACCGCCCGUCACGCCAUGGGAGUCGGUAACACCCGAAGCCUGUAGUCUAACCGCAAGGAGGACGCAGUCGAAGGUGGGAUUGAUGACUGGGGUGAAGUCGUAACAAGGUA
This 1470-nucleotide ribosomal RNA is filed under the name metagenome. Its description in RNAcentral is "bacterial SSU rRNA". It matches the Rfam family "Bacterial small subunit ribosomal RNA". The record is from RNAcentral.